GCACAAAUUGCGGCAACUCAUGGCGCAAUCGUCAAUUAUGGGCCGACAAGAAGUAAUGGCGAAAAAAAAGAAACAUACAAAUAAAAAAAAAACAGAGGAAGCGACGAAAGCGGAAAAAAUAUUGUGUUCGAUAAUCAAACCGAAAAUGUGCACAGCUUGAGCCAAAAUAAGGCAACAAUGUGAAUGGGAAAAAAAGGGGCAGAAAACCGAGGAAAACAACCGAGUGUGUGUGUGUGUGGUGGACAGGACUUUUAAACAGCAGGAUAUGCGUACAAUUUUUGGCAAUUUGCCACCCGCCGCCGCACGCGUCUCGACUGCUUCUCGUUUCAAAUAUUAAAAGCGUCUCACAAAAGGUAUCGCAAGAAGAAGAGAGCAAAAAAAUAUAUGUAUGGAAAUAGUAUCGCAUGGAAUGCUUGGCAAACAAAGACUUAUAUCAAUGAAAUAUCGCCUCUCGUUUGGAAUAUGCACAAAAAUAUCGCAUGCGAUAUCGCAAAAGACUCCGCUGUGUGCUUACACACACACACUAAUGCACGCUCAGGCCGAGCCCAUAAUUAAAUUACACACAGCACACACACACACACACACACACAAACAAACAAACAUCCAUUUCGGCUGGCACGUGUGUGUGCGCGAGCGAGAGAGCGAGAGAGAAGGAGUAACUGGAUUUCAAGGUCUGCCUGCCUGCCUGCAUGUACUGUGUGUAUGUAUGUUUGUCCCCCUUCCACCCAUUUAAAGGCGGACCCCUUGCCGUCACGCUUCUCCAACGCAUCCGGCAGCGAAUUGACGAAAACUUGGAAAAAUAAAUUCAUACGCCUUUGCAGCCUUGGCGCCGCUUGUAACUGUAAAAUGUCAAAUGUGUGAAUGUGUGUGUGUGUGAGAAAUUCACCCAAAAUGUGAUGGAAUUACAAUUACAAACAAAAAAAAAUGCAAUAGCUCAAAUCAAGUAGUUUUCUUCUAGAUGAUACCUGAAGAAAAGGCUGCGUGACUAAUCUCUUUUCUUUUAUAUUAA
This is a long non-coding RNA of Drosophila sulfurigaster albostrigata, 1009 nucleotides long. RefSeq lists it as uncharacterized. The record is from RefSeq and is a predicted model, not a curated record. NCBI's taxonomy places the organism in Eukaryota, Metazoa, Arthropoda, Insecta, Diptera, Drosophilidae. The transcript has 3 exons.